CGGGGCGUUUUCCGGUAUUAUUGGGCGUAAGCGCGUGCAGGUGGCUUUGUAAGUUGGACGUUAAAUCUCCCAGCCUAAUUGGGAGUGGUCGUUCAAUACUGCGAGGCUUGAGGGCAGAAGAGGGGGGUGGAAUUGCUGGUGUAGUGGUGAAAUGCGUAGAUAUCAGCAGGAACACCUGUGGCGAAAGCGGCCCCCUGGUUUGCUCCUGACACUCAGACGCGAAAGCUAGGGGAGUGAACGGGAUUAGAAACCCCGGUAAUCCUAGCCGUAAACGAUGGAUGCUAGGUGUGGGUGGUAUUGACCCCAUCCGUGCCGAAGCCAACGCGUUAAGCAUCCCGCCUGGGGACUACGGCCGCAAGGUUAAAACUCAAAGGAAUUGACGGGGACCCGCACAAGCAGCGGAGCGUGUGGUUUAAUUCGAUGCUACACGAAGAACCUUACCCAGGUUUGACAUGCAGGUAGUAGUGAAGCGAAAGCGGAACGAUCCUUCGGGAAGCCUGCACAGGUGCUGCAUGGCUGUCGUCAGCUCGUGCCGUGAGGUGUUUGGUUAAGUCCACUAACGAGCGCAACCCCUGUCGUCAGUUACAUGUGUCUGGCGAGACUGCCGGUGUCAAACCGGAGGAAGGUGGGGACGACGUCAAGUCCUCAUGGCCUUUAUGCCCAGGGCUGCACACGUGCUACAAUGGCGUGUCACAAAGCGAAGCGAGACCGCAAGGUGGAGCAAAUCGCACAAAACACGCCCCAGUUCAGAUUGAGGUCUGCAACCCGACCUCGUGAAGUCGGAAUCGCUAGUAAUCGCGGAUCAGCUACGCCGCGGUGAAUAUGUUCCUGAGCCUUGUACACACCGCCCGUCAAGUCAUGGGAGCCGGGAAUACCCGAAGUCGCCCCGAUUCAGGGUGCCUACGGUAGGCUCGGUGACUGGGACUAAGUCGUAACAAGGUAACC
RNAcentral lists this ribosomal RNA (945 nucleotides) under uncultured bacterium. Its description in RNAcentral is "bacterial SSU rRNA". It matches the Rfam family "Bacterial small subunit ribosomal RNA", at positions 534 to 1501 of the family's 1533-position model. The record is from RNAcentral.